Molecule: non-coding RNA, 208 nt
Organism: Schizosaccharomyces pombe (fission yeast)
Lineage: Eukaryota; Fungi; Ascomycota; Schizosaccharomycetes; Schizosaccharomycetales; Schizosaccharomycetaceae
Source: the annotation of a GenBank genome assembly
AACAAAGAAUUGCAGCAUAAUUAAUAUACACUUAGAUUUAGAUUAGUAGUUAGAAACCAUUUACUGAUACAUCUAAACCAAUCUUUAAUUUUUGUACAUCUCUUUGGCCCCUCUGUUCCAAAGGACAAAUCAGUGCUAACACUAAGCUAUUCAAUGUAUAGAUUCUCCAGCCCGUUUGCAAUGGCUUCCUUAGUUAGAAAGGUUUCAC